Molecule: non-coding RNA, 69 nt
Organism: Ictidomys tridecemlineatus (thirteen-lined ground squirrel)
Lineage: Eukaryota; Metazoa; Chordata; Mammalia; Rodentia; Sciuridae
Source: Rfam
GGGGUUGUGGCUCAGAGGUAGAGUACUCGCCUAGCAAGCGUGAGGCACUGGGUUCGAUCCUCAACACCA